RNAcentral lists this ribosomal RNA (249 nucleotides) under uncultured bacterium. RNAcentral describes it as "partial 16S ribosomal RNA". It matches the Rfam family "Bacterial small subunit ribosomal RNA", at positions 524 to 770 of the family's 1533-position model. The record is from RNAcentral.
UACAGAGGGGGCAAGCGUUAUUCGGAAUUAUUGGGCGUAAAGGGCGCGUAGGCGGCCUGGCAAGUGGAAGGUGAAAUCCCUCGGCUUAACCGAGGAACUGCCCUCCAAACUGCUUGGCUUGAGUCCGGGAGAGGUGAGUGGAAUUCCCAGUGUAGCGGUGAAAAUGCGUAGAUUACUGGGAGGAACACCAGUGGCGAAGGCGCUACCUGGACCGUUCUGACGCUGAGGGCGCGAAAAGCGUGGGGUUAG